RNAcentral lists this long non-coding RNA (466 nucleotides) under Fukomys damarensis (Damara mole-rat). RNAcentral describes it as "lncRNA (ENSFDAG00000030783.1)". Lineage: Eukaryota; Metazoa; Chordata; Mammalia; Rodentia; Bathyergidae. The record is from RNAcentral.
CUCAUUUCUCCCUCACUGUGCGUCUGCGGCACGCUCAUCUCUGCUCACACUGUAGGGAGGCAGAGUGUACCUGUGCACAUCCCACCACCCGGCACACGAUGGGGCUGGAAACUGAAGACGCAAGGAAGUAAAGCGGCUUUCCUGCUCCCCAGGAGGGAGAACUGCUGAGAAGGAAGCGCUGUGGUGGCCUCCCCAGAAGGACAGAACCAUCCGGCAGAUGGCGCUGACGAGGCAGAGCCUGCUUCCGGACCCCUCACCCCUGGGCAGAUUCUCGGGUGCACAGCCGAGUCCUCUCGUCGGCCUAUAUGUGACCCUCCAGCGAUCCCGUGUCUUUCCCCGCGUCCCACACCCACCCUGGUCUCGUGACCACUCCUGUAAACCUUCCCUGCCCUGCAGCCUGGGCUUGUGGCUCCUCACUCCACAUCUCCAGUCGAAGCUUCAGGAACAUCACAUUCAAACGUGCUAA